GUGGGGAAUAUUGGGCAAUGGGGGAAACCCUGACCCAGCGACGCCGCGUGAGGGAAGAAGGCCUUAGGGUCGUAAACCUCUGUUGUGUGGGAAGAAGAGCGUGACGGUACCACACGAGGAAGUCCCGGCUAACUACGUGCCAGCAGCCGCGGUAAUACGUAGGGGACGAGCGUUGUCCGGAUUUACUGGGCGUAAAGGGCGCGUAGGCGGUCAUUUAAGUCAGCUGUGAAAUGGUCCGGCUCAACCGGAUCAUGCGGUUGAAACUGGAUGACUGGAGUGCUGGAGAGGCAAGUGGAAUUCCCAGUGUAGCGGUGAAAUGCGUAGAUAUUGGGAAGAACACCGGUGGCGAAGGCGACUUGCUGGCCAGCAACUGACGCUGAGGCGCGAAAGCCAGGGGAGCAAACGGGAUUAGAAACCCCGGUAGUCC
This 427-nucleotide ribosomal RNA is filed under the name uncultured bacterium. RNAcentral's name for it is "partial 16S ribosomal RNA". It matches the Rfam family "Bacterial small subunit ribosomal RNA", at positions 354 to 796 of the family's 1533-position model. The record is from RNAcentral.